Molecule: long non-coding RNA, 151 nt
Organism: Sapajus apella (tufted capuchin)
Lineage: Eukaryota; Metazoa; Chordata; Mammalia; Primates; Cebidae
Exons: 3
Source: RefSeq, a predicted model, not a curated record
AAGUUUUUACAUCCUGAGUGUAUUAAUUCAUUCUCAUGCUGAUGAUAAAGACAUAUUGGAGACUGGGUAAUUUAUAAAGAAAAAGGUUUAACUGACUCACAGUACCACAUGGCUGAGGAGGCCUCACAAUCAUGGUGGAAGUCAAGGAGGA